CGGGAGGCAGCAGUAGGGAAUCUUCCACAAUGGACGAAAGUCUGAUGGAGCAAUGCCGCGUGAGUGAAGAAGGGUUUCGGCUCGUAAAACUCUGUUGUUAAAGAAGAACACCUUUGAGAGUAACUGUUCAAGGGUUGACGGUAUUUAACCAGAAAGCCACGGCUAACUACGUGCCAGCAGCCGCGGUAAUACGUAGGUGGCAAGCGUUGUCCGGAUUUAUUGGGCGUAAAGCGAGCGCAGGCGGUUUUUUAAGUCUGAUGUGAAAGCCUUCGGCUUAACCGGAGAAGUGCAUCGGAAACUGGGAGACUUGAGUGCAGAAGAGGACAGUGGAACUCCAUGUGUAGCGGUGGAAUGCGUAGAUAUAUGGAAGAACACCAGUGGCGAAGGCGGCUGUCUAGUCUGUAACUGACGCUGAGGCUCGAAAGCAUGGGUAGCGAACAGGAUUAGAUACCCUGGUAGUCCAUGCCGUAAACGAUGAGUGCUAAGUGUUGGAGGGUUUCCGCCCUUCAGUGCUGCAGCUAACGCAUUAAGCACUCCGCCUGGGGAGUACGACCGCAAGGUUGAAACUCAAAGGAAUUGACGGGGGCCCGCACNAGCGGUGGAGCAUG
RNAcentral lists this ribosomal RNA (608 nucleotides) under Levilactobacillus brevis. Its description in RNAcentral is "bacterial SSU rRNA". It matches the Rfam family "Bacterial small subunit ribosomal RNA", at positions 342 to 941 of the family's 1533-position model. Lineage: Bacteria; Bacillati; Bacillota; Bacilli; Lactobacillales; Lactobacillaceae. The record is from RNAcentral.